AACAAGGAUUCCCCUAGUAACUGCGAGUGAAGCGGGAAAAGCUCAAAUUUAAAAUCUGGUGGUCUUUGGCCAUCCGAGUUGUAAUUUAGAGAAGCGUCUUCCGCGCUGGACCAUGCAUAAGUCUCCUGGAAUGGAGCGUCAUAGAGGGUGAGAAUCCCGUCUUUGGCAUGGACCCCCAGGGCUUCUGUGAUGCGCUCUCAAAGAGUCGAGUUGUUUGGGAAUGCAGCUCAAAAUGGGUGGUGAACUCCAUCUAAAGCUAAAUAUUGGCGAGAGACCGAUAGCGAACAAGUACCGUGAGGGAAAGAUGAAAAGCACUUUGGAAAGAGAGUGAAACAGUACGUGAAAUUGUUGAAAGGGAAACGCUUGAAGUCAGUCGCGUCGACCGAGACUCAGCCUUGCCUUGGCUUGGUGUACUUCUCGGCUGACGGGUCAGCAUCAAUUUCGAUCCUUGGAUAAUGGCAAGGGAAAGGUAGCACCUUUAAGGGUGUGUUAUAGUCCUAUGUCGGAUGCAAGGGUCGGGAUUGAGGAACUCAGCACGCACCCAGUCGGUGUCGGGGCCUUGGCCUACGUUACGUGCUUAGGAUGCUGGCAUAAUGGCUUUAAACGACCCGUCUUGAAACACGGACCAAGGAGUCUAACAUGCACGCGAGUGUUCGGGUGGAAAACCCGUGCGCGUAAUGAAAGUAAAAGUUGGGACCUCUGUCGUGGAGGGCACCGACGCCCGGACCAGACCUUCUGUGACGGCUCUGCGGUAGAGCGUGUAUGUUGGGACCCGAAAGAUGGUGAACUAUGCCUGAAUAGGGUGAAGCCAGAGGAAACUCUGGUGGAGGCUCGUAGCGAUUCUGACGUGCAAAUCGAUCGUCAAAUUUGGGUAUAGGGGCGAAAGACUAAU
RNAcentral lists this ribosomal RNA (892 nucleotides) under Russula bhurbanensis. Its description in RNAcentral is "partial large subunit ribosomal RNA". It matches the Rfam family "Eukaryotic large subunit ribosomal RNA", at positions 67 to 935 of the family's 3401-position model. The record is from RNAcentral. Lineage: Eukaryota; Fungi; Basidiomycota; Agaricomycetes; Russulales; Russulaceae.